RNA transcript from Salvelinus fontinalis (brook trout), 1966 nucleotides. It is a transcript of the gene named cysteine rich DPF motif domain containing 1, with no coding region annotated. Lineage: Eukaryota; Metazoa; Chordata; Actinopteri; Salmoniformes; Salmonidae. The transcript is spliced from 6 exons. The record is from RefSeq and is a predicted model, not a curated record.
UGAAGAAAAGAAACAAGAAAGUAGAACCACGUUCGCGUUGACAACAAUGGAGUCAAGCACGGAUACGGUUCCUCAGAAUAUGUUUACUUGUCAUUUGUGUAGUUUAUCUACACCAUUCACAUACUACGGACAGAAGCCACCCAAUACCAGGGCUAUUGUCUUGUUGGAAGAGUGUUUUGUGACCAAGGAUCCUUUCAGUCCAGACGUAGAGAGGUUCCUUAUCCUGGGAUCCAACUGCAGUUUGUGCCACAUCACAGUUUGUGUUGGAACGGGCUGCAGCCUUUUCUACUCCAAGCGAUUCUGCAUGCAGUGUGUGAACAAACACUUGGACCAGUUCCCCACUCACAUUCAAGCUGAGCUCGCCAAGAAAAAGCAGCCAUCAAAGACAGAUGUUUCAUGAUUUCUGUAAGACACAAAUUAAAGACUCUGGAGGUAAAUAGUAAUAUGCUCAAACGCUCUGGUGACACUUUGCUGCCCUGUUUCCAAUCGUCCACAUGGCUGGGAGAACCUAUUCAAGUAGCUAGCCAACAGCCAUGGAGGAGCGGGAAAGGAUAGCAGGCCCAACUGUCAGUGAGAGUAGGCUAUUCUGGAUAGAGCAGGUACUUUUCCGUCCUCACUUCUAGUCCCUAAUGCAAAUAGUCUUGGUAGAGAGAGAUGAGAGAAUCAACAAUGACCUGGUGAUGUAAACGUCUAAAUUGCCUAGUUACUGUGUAGGGCACUGCAAGGUUGGGUGACCAGGGCAAUCUGGGACUGCCUCCUAGGGGAAUUCAGGCGUGUGAAAGGCUACCUGUGUCCUGCAUAACUUCAUGAGUAUGGACAUGAGGACCUGGAGGGGAUCUGCAGCUCGCCGCCGUGUGUCAGAGGAGAGGUCUGCUGCUCUGCAGGAUGUUUCGAGUAUGGGGGACAACAACGCAGCACAACAGGCAAUCCGUGGGGGGGAGAUCUUCACCUCCUACUUAUUCGAAAAGGGUGCUGUUCCCUGGCAACACCAUAGACUACACUAUACACAACCAAAUGCUAUUUAAGAGCCAUCCACAUUGCAAUAAGAGUAUUCUUCCAUUUACUUAGCUAUGUUAACUGCAGUUAUUAAAUUCCCAGUUUCUCUCCUUUUGAUUUCUACUUCUCAGGUGAGGGUGCUGUUCUGGUAAGGGUGAUGUAUGUACAAAAACAAAACGGGCGCUUUUAAGAGUCACCCAUAUUGAAAAUAUGUAGAACAUUUAGACAGACACCCUGUAACCCACACACACCUACAUGUAUCAAUCUGAUUGAUGGAUUGUGUUGUGCAGUAAGCAGGCUCAGGUGUAUAACCGUGGCUCCUUCCACCUUCAAAGAAUAGAAGAGGACCAACCAUGGAGAAUAGUUAGAAACAUCAUUAUUUAUAUAACUACGCUAUAUUGUUUGUCGUCAUCUCUGUACAUGUUUUUCAGUAUAAAGUACUCUGCAUUCACUUAGUGUGGACACACAAACAGAUUCCUGUUGAACAUUGUCUCUAGCUACCUUAUUUUCUCUAAGCCUCUCCUUCACUUCACUUCCUCUUCUCCUUAAAUCCUCUAGGUUAUAUCAGCUGUGUCGGUGAACCCCUCCCACAUCUAAACUGGCUGACAGCGAGCAGCAUGAUCAGAGAUAUGUUUUGAUGCGAGAGGAUGCCAACCCCCAGUCCCAUCAUCGCCACCUCACCCGCUUUUAAGAUAACCUUCGGCCCACCUAGAGACACUAUUAUGUAAUUGUGAUGAACUGAGAGAAUAUUUGGGUAGCACCACUGUGAUUCAUUAAUCAUAUGCUGUCUUCCCUGCUCCUAUGUUCUUACCUUUUUCCCUUUACACCUCUCGCCGCCGCCUCUUUCUUCCUGUUUUUAUAAUACACCACAGAUGUGCAUUGAGGUACAGAUUGAACUUGUAUUUAUAAUGCAUCUAUUUAUAACACUUGGAUAAUGAACUUCUUUCAAUAAAGCGUUUCACAUUCUUUA